AUUUGGGUAGCUGAUAAAAGUUUUGAGCUUUUAACUCAAAGAUGAAAAUAAAAAAGAUUUUCCCCAAAUA
Molecule: transfer RNA, 70 nt
Filed under: Laemobothrion tinnunculi
Lineage: Eukaryota; Metazoa; Arthropoda; Insecta; Psocodea; Laemobothriidae
Description: tRNA-Lys
Source: RNAcentral